RNAcentral lists this unclassified non-coding RNA (949 nucleotides) under Archaeopsylla erinacei erinacei. RNAcentral's name for it is "sequence contains ITS1". The record is from RNAcentral. Lineage: Eukaryota; Metazoa; Arthropoda; Insecta; Siphonaptera; Pulicidae. RNAcentral also lists the same sequence under 1 other name.
AACGUACAUUUACUAAUGUAAAUGAAACGUGUGCGAUACGUCGUCUAAUCGACGACGUUGUUUUAAAAUUACGGCGAUUCGUAACGAUGGAUGACACGUUUUAUUGACGGUCGACCGGAGCGUAUCGCUGAUGUGCGGUCACUGAAGAGUUUCACUCCGAUGUACCGUAUGCGCUCAUCGUACGUAAUGAUGGCCGAGUUUUGAUGUAAUAUCUUAAUAAGGCAUCUUACGGAAGAUUUGCGCUCAACAUUCUGCUCCGUUUCAUCAGAUGCGUGAGCGAAUAAUGAUGUGCGCUGUAAAAUAGCGUUCUAUCUAAUUCAAUACGAAUGCGAAGCUGAAUCGACGGCGUCAGACGUUCGACUGUAAUCGCUCUCGCACAGUGUCAUAAUCACAUUAGCGUACGAACCGUGUGCAUAAAUGCGAUCACAUAGCAUAUAAGCGCAUCGUAAGAUUGUUAUUAUACGGUCAUAGUAUAUUAAAUUGAUCUUACAACGGUUCGUGCCGUAGUUAUGACGAACUGCACAUUUGCCUCGAUGGUCGUUUUAUACGGCGUCUUGCAAAUUGUGCGAAUAUGAGAGAUCGCGUAACUGCGUUUUCUUACAUAAUGGGACGUACCGUGAGUACGAUAUCUUUCAAAGGCAAUUAUCGACUCGACUAGAGUUAAUUUUUGCUUUAGAUCACAGACAUCGUCUCGUAAGCGCGUCGUAAAAUCUACUAGCCGUGAGGUGAACGAUUUUACAGCGGUUCGUUCAUCUGUCAAACAAAACACACCAGUUUUGAAAUGAGAUCUUGCAUCUCGAGCCGAUAGCGAAAGCUUACGGUGUACUAAUUGUAACCACGCAUGAAAUACAUGAUUUCGCAACGUCCGCAAUCUUAACCGAUAUACGGACUGUUCGAAACUUGUAUAAUAUAUAUAAAAUCACCCUGAACGGUGGAUCACUUGGCUCGU